RNAcentral lists this microRNA precursor (275 nucleotides) under Oryza rufipogon (brownbeard rice). RNAcentral's name for it is "MIR812 microRNA precursor family". It matches the Rfam family "MIR812 microRNA precursor family". The record is from Rfam by way of RNAcentral. Lineage: Eukaryota; Viridiplantae; Streptophyta; Magnoliopsida; Poales; Poaceae.
UUUAAGCGUAGUCAUAAGUUCUUGUGUGCAUCUUUGAUCAUAUAUCUUAUUUAAAAUACUUUUUAAAAAAUUAAAGAACAUAAGUCACACAUAAAAGUAUUAUUUAUAUUUUAUCAUCUAAAAAUAAUAAAAAUACUCCCUCCGUCUCAAAAUGUAGCAGCAUAGGAUGGGAUGAGACCCAUUAUAUGACUAUGAAUAUGGACAUACUCAUUAAAAAAAGGUUAAAUAAGACAGAGGAUCAAAGUUGAACACAGAAACUUAUGACUGCACUUAAA